GAUGAACGCUGGCGGCGUGCUUAACACAUGCAAGUCGAACGAUGAAGCCCAGCUUGCUGGGUGGAUUAGUGGCGAACGGGUGAGUAACACGUGAGUAACCUGCCCUUAACUCUGGGAUAAGCCUGGGAAACUGGGUCUAAUACCGGAUAGGAGCGUCCACCGCAUGGUGGGUGUUGGGAAGAUUUAUCGGUUUUGGAUGGACUCGCGGCCUAUCAGCUUGUUGGUGGGGUAAUGGCUCACCAAGGCGACGACGGGUAGCCGGCCUGAGAGGGUGACCGGCCACACUGGGACUGAGACACGGCCCAGACUCCUACGGGAGGCAGCAGUGGGGAAUAUUGCACAAUGGGCGCAAGCCUGAUGCAGCGACGCCGCGUGAGGGAUGACGGCCUUCGGGUUGUAAACCUCUUUCAGUAGGGAAGAAGCGAAAGUGACGGUACCUGCAGAAGAAGCACCGGCUAACUACGUG
Molecule: ribosomal RNA, 466 nt
Filed under: uncultured bacterium
Lineage: Bacteria
Description: partial 16S ribosomal RNA
Rfam family: Bacterial small subunit ribosomal RNA
Source: RNAcentral